This 315-nucleotide ribosomal RNA is filed under the name uncultured eukaryote. RNAcentral's name for it is "partial 18S ribosomal RNA". It matches the Rfam family "Eukaryotic small subunit ribosomal RNA", at positions 1470 to 1796 of the family's 1831-position model. The record is from RNAcentral.
CCCUUAGAUGUUCUGGGCUGCACGCGCGCUACACUGACGCACGCAACAGGUGCCUGCUCCGAGAGGACUGGGUAAUCAUUUGAGUGUGCGUCGUGAUGGGGAUAGAAUAUUGUAAUUAUUACUCUUCAACGAGGAAUUCCUAGUAAGCGCCAGUCAGCAGCUUGCGCUGAUUACGUCCCUGCCCUUUGUACACACCGCCCGUCGCUCCUACCGAUGGGUGAUCCGGUGAAUGAUUCGGACUUCAGCGGCUCCCCUGGGGUGCGCCGGCGAAAGUUUUGUGAACCUUAUCACUUGGAGGAAGGAGAAGUCGUAACA